AAGUUUAUAUGAAAGUCCGUCCUUUUCAAGUUAUUUCCAUGAAAAUUGGUAUUUGGGUUUUCUGUCACAAAUGAAGAAAAUGUGUUUCAGGGAUUUUUUGGAAAUUUCAUCCCCACUGUGAUUUUCUAAAUUCCACCCGAGCAAAGUCGGGGCAGUUCAGCAAGUAGGUAAUAUUGCUAAAGAA
This is a long non-coding RNA of Maniola jurtina (meadow brown), 184 nucleotides long. RefSeq lists it as uncharacterized. Lineage: Eukaryota; Metazoa; Arthropoda; Insecta; Lepidoptera; Nymphalidae. The record is from RefSeq and is a predicted model, not a curated record. The transcript is spliced from 3 exons.